Molecule: ribosomal RNA, 3004 nt
Filed under: Gammaproteobacteria bacterium
Lineage: Bacteria; Pseudomonadati; Pseudomonadota; Gammaproteobacteria
Description: 23S ribosomal RNA
Rfam family: Bacterial large subunit ribosomal RNA
Source: RNAcentral
AUCAAGCUACUAAGGGCUUACGGUGGAUGCCUUGGUGCCAGGAGACGAUGAAGGGCGUGACAGGCUGCGAUAAGCUUCGGGGAGCCGCUUAAUAGGCUACGAUCCGGAGAUUCCCGAAUCGGGCAACCGAGCAGGUUAAUCCCUGCUACUCGUGUUUACACGAGGGAUAACCAGGAGAAGUGAAACAUCUCAGUACCCUGAGGAACAGAAAGAAAACCUCGAUUCCCCCAGUAGCGGCGAGCGAAAAGGGAACAGCCCAAACUCGAUAUAUGUUCAAGCCUGAACGCGUUGUAUAUCGGGGGUUGCGGGGUUCGUCGGGUGUGGGUUCAGACACACCGGAAGUGACCGUGCCGCUAGCUUAAUGCCUCUGGAAAGAGCAACCGGAGCGGGUAAAAGUCCCGUGAGCGAAAGCGGUGGCGCACUUCUUGACGGGUACCCCAAGUACUACGGGAUAGGCAAACCUGUAGGAAUCUAGGAGGACCACCUCCUAAGGCUAAAUACUCCCUGGCGACCGAUAGUGAACGAAGUACUGUGAAGGAAGUGGUGAAAAGCUCCCCCAUUAGGGAAGUGAAAAGUCCCUGAAACCGUAUAGUCUACAAGCUGUGGUAGUGCUAGGUCACGCAAGUGACACGCACAACCGCGUGCCUUUUGCAUAAUGAGCCGGUGACUUACUCUGUGUAGCAAGAUUAAACAUUUUUGAUGUGGAGUCGUAGCGAAAGCGAGUCUGAAUAGGGCGUGCAGUUGCAUGGAGUAGACCCGAAACCAAGUGAUCUAUCCAUAGGCAAGGUGAAGCAUAUGUAAAAAUAUGUGGAGGCCUGAACCCACCAAGGCUGAAAACUUGGGGGAUGACCCGUGGAUCGGAGUGAAAGGCUAAUCAAACUUGGUGAUAGCUGGUUCUCCCCGAAAUAGCUUUAGGGCUAGCCUCAUGUGUUCGGCAGUGGCGGUAGAGCUCUAAUUGGACUCGCGGCCCUACCAGGUUAGCAACUCCAGUUAAACUGCAAAUGCCAUUGUCUUAAGCAUGGGAGUCAGUCAGUGGGGGAUAAGCUCCAUUGACGAAAGGGAAACAGCCCAGACCACCAGCUAAGGUCCCUAAAUACAUACUAAGUGGUAAAGGAUGUUUUGUUGCUGAGACAGCCAGGAUGUUGGCGUAGAAGUGGCAACCAUUUAAAGAGUGUGUAAUAACUCACUGGUUGAGCGACUUUGCACCGAAGAUUUCCGGGGCUAAGUAUGUUACCGAAGCUGUGGAUAUCCCGUAAGGGGCCCGUCAGGGUUCCGUCAGGGGUAUGGUAGGGGAGCGUUCUAUAGUAGGACUGAAGGAGAAUCGUAAGACGCUCUGGACGAAUUAGAAGUGAUUAUGCCGGCAUGAGUAGCGAUAAAACGAGUGAGAAGCUUGUUCGCCGAAAGCCUAAGGAUUCCUGAGGAAGGUAAAUCCUCUCAGGGUUAGUCGGAACCUAAGCCGAGGCCGAAAGGCGUAGGCGAUGGGAAGCAGGCGUAAUAUUCCUGCACCACCAUGACACGGAUGAAACUAGGGGAGACGCAGACAUUAAGGACUACCAGCGGAUGGAAGUGCUGGGUUAAGCCCGACGGAGUGCACCAGGCAAAUCCGGUGCAAUCAACUCCCGAAGGUGAACAGGAUUCCGUAAGGAUGCAAACUGUCCCGACUGUCUGCCAAGAAAAGAACCUCGAGUGGACAACUCAUGGUGACCGUACCGUAAACCGACACAGGUAGGCGAGGAGAGAAUCCUAAGGCGCUCGAGAGAACUCUUGCUAAGGAACUCGGCAAAAUGACCCCGUAACUUCGGGAGAAGGGGUGCUUUGAGUAAGUGCCGCGUUUCGACGUGAUACUGAAAAAAGCCGCAGUGAAAUGGCCCGUGCGACUGUUUACUAAAAACACAGGUCUCUGCUAAAUCGUAAGAUGAUGUAUAGGGACUGACGCCUGCCCGGUGCCAAAAAGUUAAGGUGAGGAGUGAAGGGCAACUGGAAGCUCCGAACUGAAGCUCUGGUAAACGGCGGCCGUAACUAUAACGGUCCUAAGGUAGCGAAAUUCCUUGUCGGGUAAGUUCUGACCUGCACGAAUGGCGUAACGACAUGGGCACUGUCUCGGCAAGAGACUCGGCGAAAUUGUAAUACCGGUGAAGAUGCCGGUUACCCGUACCAAGACGGAAAGACCCCGUGAACCUUUACUAUAGCCUGAUAUUGGGUUUUAAUGUUGCAUGUGUAGGAUAGGUGGGAGACUUUGAAACUGGGGCGCCAGCUUCAGUGGAGUCGCACUUGAAAUACCACUCUUGUUGCAUUGGAAUUCUAACUCCGGCACGUGAAUCCGUGCCGAGGACAGUGUCAGGUGGGUAGUUUGACUGGGACGGUCGCCUCCCAAAAUGUAACGGAGGCAUCCUAAGGUUCCCUCAGCGCGAUUGGAAACCGCGCGUAGAGUGCAAAGGCAGAAGGGAGCUUAACUGCGAGACGGACACGUCAAGCAGAUGCGAAAGCAGGGCUUAGUGAUCUUACGGUGCUGUGUGGAAAGGCCGUAACUCAAUGGAUAAAAGGUACUCCGGGGAUAACAGGCUAGUCGCACCCGAGCGCUCACAGCGACGGUGCGGUUCGGCACCUCGAUGUCGGCUCGUCACAUCCUGGGGCUGCAGCAGGUCCCAAGGGUUCGGCUGUCCGCCGAUUAAAGUGGCACGCGAGCUGGGUUUAGAACGUCGUAAGACAGUUCGGUCCCUAUCUGGUACGGGCGUAGGAUAUUUGAGAGAUGCUGCCCCUAGUAUGAGAAGACCGGGGUGGACGUACCUCUAGUGCACCAGUUGUCACGCCAGUGGCACCGCUGGGUAGCUAUGUACGGAGAGGAGAAACGCUGAAAGCAUCUAAGCGUGAAACCUCCCUCAAGAUAAGAUAUCCCACAACGUUAAGUUGGUAAGGCUCCUUCGAGAUAAGAAGGUUGAUAGGCCAGAUGUGUACACCGUGUGAGCGGUUCAGCUAACUGGUACUAAUAAGCCGAGGGCUUGAU